UGCAUUGCAUUACUCCUUAAAAAUUAUGUAUUAUUGAUGAGCUCAGAAGCAUGGAUGGGAAAUUACUGUUACUGAAAUGCUGCACAUGAUCUUACCAAACUAAUUUUGUAUUCUCUUUUUCAGUGCAGAAGAUGCUGUGUCAUGGUUUGUGUGUGAAAAAACAGUAGGAAUACACCACAGAACAUUUAUAUACAUUUAUCUGCUUGUAGCAAAGGGCUUUUGUUGGAUGUAAAGAGCUACUCCUUGCUGUUUGCCUUACUUUUCCGUGGGCAGAAACACAGAAGGGCUUCUAACAAUUUAAGAAAUUGCAUAAAGGAGGCGUUUUGGGAAGAGAGGUGGGUGAAGAGAACCAAAGCCACUACCAGAACAUGACCUAAAUCAGAACAAACAUUGGAAGAUGGCCAGAUAUUAAAAAAAGAAGGCUGGAUCUGACUCUGAAAGUAGUUUCUAUUAACCAGGAUGUUUCACAGUGCUGUAACAAGGACAAAGGAGACACAGUACAAGACCAAAUUAAGAUGUACUUAAUUAGUCUGUGUGACAGUCUUUGCAACUGGGAAAGGAAGAUUAAGAAUAAAGUCAUUGUCUUCAUGGAAAAGAGUGCCGAGGAUGUGGGAGCUGCGAAGGCAGAUGCUGAAGCCCUGCUGAAGUGUGGAUGGACACAGGUGUUUGUGCUGUGAGAGACUUGGUUCCUGUUCCUGGGGCCCAGCAAGCACUGGUGGCAGUGCUCACUCAGGCUGGCUCAUGGCAGCCUGUGCUCAGCUUACAUCAGAUUCUAGCCAGUCUUUUUGUUUUCUUGUGAGAUUUUUGUUGCAAAGUAUCUAAUUCUUUAAGAUGUUAGAGAUGGAAUCAUGAAAAUGAUAACGCGCUGGGCUUGCUACAGCUUCAACUUUCCAUCCUGAACUUCCUGACAUAGGUGAAUCCAACUUGCUCCAUUCCUCCCAGGCAAACAAAACUAUCUAUUUUUAGAAUGAUUUAAUCAAAAGAAGUUUUUGAAGAGGAAAGCUGAGAUGCAAAAAGGAAAUACAUCCUGCCCUGCAAAAUUUGGCUCCAGCCUGCCCACCACCAUGAGCUAAUAUUGUCCAGGUCUACAUUUGCAAGUGGUGCCAUGCAGUUGGAGCCAGUUUGCCUUUGGUGCCAAGAACCUGAUGUCCACACUGCAUGAGUUGUAGCACGGAAGCCCGUGAGGAAAGAUGAGAUGAGGAGGUUGAUUCUGCUGCCUCAUUCAGAUAAAGCAGGACUUGCUCUGAGCAAUGGAUGCAUUCAUUUUCAUGAGGUAGUGUAAAAAUGGACUACAAAGCAGGAUGGAAUCCAACCCUACAUCUUAGCAGUCAAACUCUGUUUAAACAACUGUCUGCACAAGGCUGUGUUGCCUUUGUGUUUGGGAUGGCUCUCAGUGGAAACCAGUAACACCAGUGUGUACCACCAAGGUGAGAACACAAAGCCAGAGGCCAUGGCACUUUUUACACAGACUUUACCUAAAACAGCCUUUUACAAGAUACCUGCAACAGAGAGGGUCAGGAAUUUUAAUGCCAGCUGAUUUGAGUCCUAGGAGAACAAAUAACUACACAGCAUUUUUGCCAGUGUAAUCUUUGGUCAUUAUUAUUGAUUGAAAUGAAGCUUAAAAGUGGGUUUCUUCUGAAGUCUUUUGAAAAAUGGUGGCUGUCAAUAUGCUUUUAAGGCUGAAACAUCUAUCAGCAGCCCUGUAAAGAUGGUGAAUUAGUUCUGCUGAAGUACGUGACACCUGUGAGAAGUCCUCAGUUUGUCUGAUGGGGAAUCAAAGGCAACUUUCAAAUUUUGGAUACAAAUGGAGGAGAAGAAUAACAAUUCUCUGUGAUGUGCCAAUUUAUGAGUAAUGAGUAAGUGCACUAUGCAGGUUAAAAGCACCUCUUUUUUGAGGAAGCAGCAAGGAAGAAAGUGUAAAAUUGUGUACUGAGGUCUGACCCCAAAAAUACUCAACUUUACAAAAAUUAUUCACCAAGAAGACCUGUAGAACUCAGAGAGAGUUUCCUGGGAAAAAACUGUAAGUGCUUGAGUGUAACUUCUUGAAUUUUGUAGGGUUGUGAUCUGACUAUUUAGUUAGGUUUUUUUCCUUUGAGUUGAUAUUUGAUGUCUGUCAAGUUGAAGGUCUUGCACAAGAAUGAAAGUUAUUUUACAAAAAAAUCAGGUGCUCCAGAAAUAAUUGAUUUCCAAGAGGAUGAUCAUGCUUAUGAAGUCUUGACAAGAAUAUUCUCAUUAAUUUCUAUUCUAGAAGGAAGCAGUACAUAUUUAAAUAAAUUUAAAACUCCCCCAAAACAACAAAAAAACAAGUGCAAAGAGUAAAGACAAGUAAUAUCUGGUAAUUAAUGCAGAUUAUUCUUUCUGAUUUUCUUAACAUUUUAUGUAGAGAUAAUCUGUGAAGUCCCUUGAAGCAGAACAAAAGCUUUAAAGAUAUUGUUAAGAUCUUAUUGAUAAUAUUCAUAAAUGUUAUCAGUGAGGAAGUAGAAAGCAGUUUUUCCUGAACUUUGCCUCAAUGAAUAAUUGUUGACAAAGGGCUCUUCAGGAUGAAAUGUCACAUCUUCUUUUUCCCGUGGCUUGUGAUAAAUUGUGCAAUCCAAAUGCUGGGGUCUCUAGUUUUUUACUAGGAAAGAAUUUAUUAUGUCUACAUGCCCAAAUGUUUUCAGUUCUCCGUAACUCUGAUGGCACAACAUGUAAUGGAAGUAAAGGAAAUCAAGGUAAUAUUUGUGUCUGCUAAUACAAACACAGCUGUACCACCUCUUACUAGUUAGGUAAAUACUCUGUCUUCAAAGUUCAGGACUGGAAGUAAAUAUCAAAGAUGACCAGUGUCAAAUGUGUUGUUUACAUUGGGCCCAGUGUUCAAUUUGUUUCCCACUCUAGUUUUCUGUGCUGCCAUUGACAAUUCCCACCUACAUAAAAGCAACUUAAACAGAUAAUUCUUUUGCCUCUACAGCUCAAUAAAAUAAAGUCAAAAGCAAUUUCCUUUCCUCUAAUACAUUUAUGUCUUUAAGAAAUGAAUUGCUGCAUAAAAUUGCUAAGCAGGGCUGUGAUUUUUUUGUCAUCCUUUUAGCCAACCUUUCUAGGGUGGAAAAAGAUUUUAAUUGUAGAUCAGGCCCUAUUGAAGAUUUUUCAAAUCUUGGAUUAAUUUAUUACAGUACAUAAAACAAAUGUAAUUUUGACUCAUCCUGUGUAUAAAUAGCUCUUCUAAUGUAUUAGAUUUUUUUCUCAAUUACUCAGAUUACUCAUAUGUUUCCUAGGUUAUCAACUGAUUUUUUAUAUAAAGAAGAGGGAAGAUUGAUUCUGACAUUUUCUCAGUUGUGUGCAAUGACACUUUUAAAAUCGUAACAGUCUCCUGCCAGCUACGGAUAUUGACUCAGGCAUGAGAUUUUCAGAAGACAUGCUUACUUUAGAGACUAGUUUGUCAUGUUUCCAUCUGUUGGAUAAAUAUCUUUUUGACUAAGUGUAAAACCUCAAAUACAUGUCAUCCCAGAUGCUCAAGAAAUUUUUCACCCGACUGCUGAAAGGAUGAGAUGCAAAACCCUUUCAGAACACCUGCCAAACGAGACUGCCCAAUCCUGUCCCAGGCACCUGGAACAGCCACCUGAGGUUUGGAACUUCAACAAUCCCAAUGUAGAAAACAGCAACCCAUCAGACAAAUCUUACUGCUGGGGAGUGUAUGAUUUCCCCAGCAGGUGGGAGAUGUAAAUCAGGAGCCUGGAGGGAACCAGGAGAUCUGAGAAUGGCAGAGGGUUGUCUGCUCAAGUGCGUGCCCUCUGCAGCCAGGUUCCUGGAAACCUGACCUUGGGUUAUUUUGGAUACUGGCUGAUAAGAGCCUUUUCCUUGUUGUCUGAGCACUGAGACUGAAGAAAUUUGCAUUCCUCCUUUUUGCAUUGUAUCCUACUGGCUGUACCAGGCAGGUGAGACUGAAAUCCCAUUGUGCAAGUUCCCUCGCUGGCACGCAGAGAUUUCUGUCCCUCACGGGGAGUAUUUGUUAGAUAGACCUUGGGAGGUGUUCCUUCAGGGUUCUAAGAACAGUAUGUUCACUGGUAAAUUCUAUUAUUUUGCCUUUCCCCCUUCACUGAGAUAAAAUAAUGCUCUGGUGGCACAGUCUCUGUAAUCCCUCUGUUGCUUCACUUCAAUAGAUGUGGAGGGAUCUGUUUUUUAAAUAGGAGUCUCUUCUGCAACACCAAUGUGCUUUUAUUGAUACUGGGGUUUUUCUUUCUUAAAAGUAUUCUACCUAUUGAUGGAUUUGCCUAGGAAAAAGCAAAAGCAGUUAAAGCAGGAAGGAAGCAAGAAUGACAGAAGAAUCACUUUAUACUGUUGACUUCUACAGAGCAGGUUUGAUGAGAGUGGAUAAAGACAAUUUCAUUUUUUUAUUCAGAAUUAGUUUUACUUAAUAUAGUCACCAGCAGACUUGGUGAUCCUAUUUCCCAUUUUAUAUGGUGUGAUUUUAACCAUGCACUUUUCCCUUUUUCUCUGUCAGAAUAACCUGAAAAGCAGAUUUAUUUUAUUUUGUACUUAAGUUUGAUUCUGACCAAGGCAGUGAACAGCUGUGGUCUUACUGUAAGUUGCUACUGUUAUUUUCCCUAUACUUUCCCAAUCUCUGCCUGCAGAACAGGAAUGUGGGACUGGAAGUGACUCAUUGGAUCACAGAAUCCACCUCUUUGCUGCAGCAUUCAUCACAUCUUAUAAACCCUCUUUAAAAACAUCCAAACUUAGUCUUGAAACUGCUUUGUCAUGCACCCUACCUGCUCUGAGAUACCCUACAUUGUUUAAAAAAUGUUGUUAAUGAACUUGAAAGGCCUCAGCUCUCCUCACUGCUGCUAAUUAAGCUUUUUUUCCCCCAAGAUAUACACAUGAAAAUAUGGUGUGUAUGUAUGUUUCUUUCCAGUUGCUCCUGCCAGAAUGCUGCUCUGGGACCCCACUGAUUAGAAACACAAUUAUUUUGCUCAGCCUUCAUGACUAAUUGAUCUGUGCUUGGAAGUGUCAUCCAGCUUGCAGAUUUGGUCAUGCAGUUUCUUUUGUUGUCAGAACUCUUCUGGGGAGGUUUUUUUCAAACAAGUUUGGGAUUGCUCACUGAGCUAUGGGAAUGCAGUAACUUAUUUUGUCAGUUUAUAUUACCUGAAGAAUGUAGGAAUAGGGUGGAAGAUCCAGGGUUGCUGAAUGACACUGUAGUAAGGGAAGAAAUGCCUGGGUUAUCUGAGAAUGAACAGACUGAGACUGAUUACAAAAGCUUUGUAAAUAGAAAUAUUUCAGGACAUCUCAGCUGUGUGUUUAAAGUCAGCCUCAGCUGUGUGUUUAAAUUACAGAAUUCUUCUCAUCCAUAGGGAGGAUUUAAGUUUAGAAUGCAUUGAAAAGUAGCGUUACUGUCUCUAUGAUAGUUUUACUAAAAUCAGUGAAAAAACAUACUUCAGGAAUGCUUCUAUGAUCACAGAAUAUUCUGAGUUGGAAGGGACCCAGAAGAAUCAUUGAGUCCAUCUCUUAGGUGGAUGUCCCAUACAAGGAUCAAACCCACAAUCUUGGUGUCAUUAACACCAUGCUCUGAGCUCAUCUCAGGGCUUUUAUGAAAGGAAGUAGCAUGACCCAAGCCUAUGUCUUCUGGCAGGAACAGGAAUGACAAAAAUCUCCUUAAAAUUUUCUUCUCCAGAUUUUUUUCUGCUCAUACACAGCUUCUGUUGUCUUCAGUGGUGAAUUUCUAACUAUGUACACUGUUAGCCAUGCCAUUAAAUUGUUCUUUUUGUUUUCAGUUCUUAUUUCCUGAACUGAUACCGAAACAUUCUGAAUUGAUUCCAAAAUUUAUAUAAUGAUACUAUAACUGAAGCAGAUUACUUUAUUUUUAGAUUUUAAAAUUAAUGUGUAAUGUGUAUCUUCAUCUGAUAUUCUAAGAAUAUCAGAAUUUACUAUCAGCCUCUGGCAAGGGAAAUUAAAUUGAUUUUAAGAUAAAUGCAACAAAAAAUCCAGAAAUACUUCUCUAGAACUCUAUUUUUUGAUUCACAUGCUAGUAAUCAUGGAGUUGUUCAUGAGAGGUUUUAUUGAUGAAGUAGGAUGCAGCCCUUUCAUAUAUUCCUUGGAAUUCUUUAUGCUUUCAGGUCACAUUUGCACAAAUUCCUGCUUUUGGUAGGGCUCUGGCAAAGGCAGUUUGAUCCCAGAGCAGAGGAGGGGGACAUUUAAUACUGUAAGUGGGGCUGUGUUCUUCCAAAAUUUGAAAAUGGCUGCUUAGGGCUUGGUAACUGAGGAAACCUCCUCUGAGUCCAGCCAUUCACCCCACUUUGUAUCAGAAUUGCUGAUCAUCUUAAUAAUCAUCUCUUGUAUCCUAAUGUCCAAUUUUGGACACGGCUUCUGCAUUCACUGAGUCUCUCCACAGUAUUAAAUAUCCUUGGCUGCAAGGGGCAGCAGCUGAAGAAGGAGGGGUUUUUGUGUGGGAAGGCUGCAGUGUCUGUUCAUAUAUUAUUCUGCCACAUGAUGUCCUCCUAAGCCAGGUUAGAAUUAUGGAAUGCAGGUACUCAAACUGUGCAAUUCUUCAGCAUUCAGGUAUGUAUUUAUGUAAAAGGUACCGUUCUUGUAGUAAACUAUUACUCCAAUCAGAAAUACCUAAUCUGUAAUGUGUUUCAGUUGCUUUGUAUGGUUUGUGAACAUUUCUCCUGAGGCUGAGUGUUAUUAAUACAGCCUCAUGAUCACCUGCAUUAAAACCCAAAGCUUAAGAAACUUCAGCAUUUUCAAUUUGUUCAGCUUAGUCUUACUGGCACUGCUCACUGCUUUGUAUAAGCAUUUUGUCCUAGUUGUGUAUUUUUUGCAUCAAGGCACAUUUUGAAUGCUGCACACAUUAUGAGAGUGUUGUAAUUAAUAUUCUGAAUCAAUUACUUUAAACAAAAUGUCUAGUACCUGUAUUUAGGGUACGACAGAAAUAAAGACUUAUGUACAGCAUCCUGUUUUUCCUUUGUGUCAUAUUACUUGUUUUAAAUAACUUUUCAUUUUCUGUCAAAAAUUAAUGUUCUUUAUAAUGCUG
This is a long non-coding RNA of Passer domesticus (house sparrow), 7000 nucleotides long. RefSeq lists it as uncharacterized. The record is from RefSeq and is a predicted model, not a curated record. Lineage: Eukaryota; Metazoa; Chordata; Aves; Passeriformes; Passeridae. The transcript has 8 exons.